CUACCAAAAGCUAAUUUUUUUGUGGGGAAAGCUUUCUAAAUAACCUUUACCAAUUUGGGCUACUUGGAAGAGUAAAGGAAAGACCACACUCCAGCGGGUUAUACCAAUAGUUCAGUACUAUUUUGUGGCCUACAUU
Small nucleolar RNA from Cercocebus atys (sooty mangabey), 136 nucleotides. NCBI's taxonomy places the organism in Eukaryota, Metazoa, Chordata, Mammalia, Primates, Cercopithecidae. The record is from Ensembl.